Molecule: ribosomal RNA, 235 nt
Filed under: uncultured Bacillota bacterium
Lineage: Bacteria; Bacillati; Bacillota
Description: uncultured Firmicutes bacterium partial 16S ribosomal RNA
Rfam family: Bacterial small subunit ribosomal RNA
Source: RNAcentral
CGGACGGGUGAGUAACGCGUGGGCAACCUGCCUUGCACUGGGGGAUAACAGCCAGAAAUGGCUGCUAAUACCGCAUAAGACCGAAGCGCCGCAUGGCGCGGCGGCCAAAGCCCCGGCGGUGCAAGAUGGGCCCGCGUCUGAUUAGGUAGUUGGCGGGGUAACGGCCCACCAAGCCGACGAUCAGUAGCCGACCUGAGAGGGUGACCGGCCACAUUGGGACUGAGACACGGCCCAG